CUGGGGUGGAAAGUCGGAGCUCAAAACUCUCGACGACUUCUGGGGUUUAUUAGACCACAUGAGACGACAACCAAUCCCCCACCCGACCUCUGCUGCCUCUGGCCUGCCCUCUACACAAGCUGGAUAUGCUUCUGACCAAAGAAAGCCCUUAAUCUGAGUGCCAGGUGCUUUCAGCAGGAAGCAUCAUUUGCCCCAGGUAGUGAGGGCCAGCAGACACAGGAACUCAGAGCAUCAGUGGGGGAGUUAUGAGGAGGUAAGCCCGUUAGAAGAAAUUCACUGGAAACGUCUUCAAACCACAUUUGGAGUGCGGGCUCGGACUCAGUCGCUCGGUCAUGUCCGACUCUUUGUGACCUCAUGGACUGUAGCCCGCCAGGCUCCUCCGUCCACGGGAUUUUCCUGGGAAGAAUCCUGCAGUGGGCUGCCAUGGCCUCCUCCAGUUGGGAUGUAUAGAGGAUCCUGUUGUUCGUCCAUUCUCCCUGUGAUAGUUUGCAUCUGAUUAACUCCAAGUUCCCACGCCAUCGCUCAUUUUAUGCUUGAUAAAAGCCAAGGAUUAAGGAUGUGGAGUGACUUCCUAAAGGAUGAAAAGCUGGAGGCGAGUCACUGUAUCCUCCUAAGCAAUGAAUGGUGAAACUGAAGUUCAGAUGCACAGGAACUGAGGGACAGAAGCAGGAUUCUAGCCCACACUGUUGGCUCUCCACGCCUCUUACUGUAUCUUGAUCUUCCUGCCGUCUCCUUUUUCUCAGAUGAGGAAACUGAGGUACCGAAGCUUUAAGUGGCUCCACGCGAGACAUGUUGCCCGAGAGUGGGCCCAGAUUUCCCGUCUCCUGCCCCUCAACAUCAAGUAGACUCCUGCCCAGCACACUCAGAAUUCGUAGGACUCCAGCUGCCUUGGCCAAACAUGUCCCUUUGGCCAAUGGUUGGCAAAAUGUCACUUUCAUUUAGGUGACGAAGCUCCUCACCAGAUACAAUGCUGAAAAUGUAGGCCACUUCCCCAUGUGACUGCGUUUCAUAACUCAGAGCUAAAGAUGUCUCUCGGCUCACUUGGC
Long non-coding RNA from Bos taurus (domestic cattle), 1046 nucleotides. The record is from Ensembl. NCBI's taxonomy places the organism in Eukaryota, Metazoa, Chordata, Mammalia, Artiodactyla, Bovidae.